This 303-nucleotide ribosomal RNA is filed under the name uncultured bacterium. RNAcentral describes it as "partial 16S ribosomal RNA". It matches the Rfam family "Bacterial small subunit ribosomal RNA", at positions 507 to 807 of the family's 1533-position model. The record is from RNAcentral.
AGCAGUCGCCGCGGUAAUACGGAGGGUGCAAGCGUUACUCGGAAUUACUGGGCGUAAAGCGUGCGUAGGUGGUGGUUUAAGUCCGUUGUGAAAGCCCUGGGCUCAACCUGGGAAUUGCAGUGGAUACUGGGUCACUAGAGUGUGGUAGAGGAUAGUGGAAUUUCCGGUGUAGCAGUGAAAUGCGUAGAGAUCGGAAGGAACAUCUGUGGCGAAGGCGACUAUCUGGGCCAACACUGACACUGAGGCACGAAAGCGUGGGGAGCAAACAGGAUUAGAUACCCCUGUAGUCCCUGUCUCUUAUAC